This 624-nucleotide ribosomal RNA is filed under the name uncultured Russulaceae. RNAcentral describes it as "LSU rRNA". It matches the Rfam family "Eukaryotic large subunit ribosomal RNA", at positions 47 to 649 of the family's 3401-position model. The record is from RNAcentral. Lineage: Eukaryota; Fungi; Basidiomycota; Agaricomycetes; Russulales; Russulaceae.
UAAGCGGAGGAAAGAAACUACAGGAUNCCCCUAGUACUGCGAGUGAAGCGGGAAAAGCUCAAAUUUAAANUCUGGUGGUCUUUGGCCAUCCGAGUUGUAAUUUAGAGAAGCGUCUUCCGCGCUGGACCGUGCACAAGCCUCCUGGAAUGGAGCGUCAUAGAGGGUGAGAAUCCCGUCUUUGGCAUGGACACACCAGGGCUUUUGUGAUGCGCUCUCGAAGAGUCGAGUUGUUUGGGAAUGCAGCUCAAAAUGGGUGGUGAACUCCAUCUAAAGCUAAAUAUUGGCGAGAGACCGAUAGCGAACAAGUACCGUGAGGGAAAGAUGAAAAGCACUUUGGAAAGAGAGUGAAACAGUACGUGAAAUUGUUGAAAGGGAAACGCUUGAAGUCAGUCACGUCGACCGAGACUCAGCCUUGCCUCGGCUUGGUGUACUUCUCGGCUGACGGGUCAGCAUCAAUUUUGCCCCUUGGAUAAUGGCGAGGGAAAUGUGACACCUUUAUGGUGUGUUAUAGUCUCUCGUCGCAUGCAAGGGUUGGGAUUGAGGAACUCAGCACGCGCCCUUUGGGUGUCGGGGCUUUGCCCACGAUACGUGCUUAGGAUGUUGGCAUAAUGGCUUUAAACGACC